Molecule: long non-coding RNA, 1611 nt
Organism: Drosophila willistoni
Lineage: Eukaryota; Metazoa; Arthropoda; Insecta; Diptera; Drosophilidae
Exons: 3
Source: RefSeq, a predicted model, not a curated record
CAUUAUGAAAGAUGUUGUUUUUUUGUUCUUUUGUGUUCUUUUUCACAUUCGAUACGUUCAAGCGGCAAACAUCAGCAUCACUUGACACAGUCAUUGUCGUUGGGGGCAAAUAGAAAAAGAAAUAUCUACCAAAAUGCAUAGUAGCGCCGGACAUAGACACGGAUACGGACAUGGACAUGAACAUGGGCUAGGACACAGACACGGACACGGACCCGGGUCGACCCGUUCCGGCCGUGUAAUGUAAUGUAAUGCGCGUGCUGCCAGCAAAAAUAAAGAAAAUGAUUGGUGGCCGAUGAGGACGAUGAACGACGGCGGUAAACGAGCAGCUUAAGGGGGCAAGGGGACGACGACUCUUUUGGCAACAACAGCUAAAAGUGGUGCUAGCAUAAGUGAAGAAAAAAUAAAAAAAAAAAAAAAAUGCUUGGAAAGAAAGAGAGAAAGAAAAUAUAUGUUUCAUGCCCCGAAGUGAGCGAAUCAAGAGGCAAACUUGAGCCCAUCGAUGGGAGUUCAAAAAUUGCCGAGGUCAGUCAGUGUGGAGAGUGAAUUGGGUGAUGCAUUGGGCGCAUGGAGUAUGGAGCAUGAACCAAAACAGACACUGGCAAAGGGCAAAGGGCAAAGCCGAUGAAAAGAGACCAAUAGCCAUGGCAAAGGCAGAGCAGAGGCAGAAAGCCAAGCCAUAAGAUAGCGAAAGGGAAAAAGUAAAGUGAAGUAGAAUCGUGUAGAAGGACCACAAGGAGUGAAAGGGUCUGGUCAAAUUACGCAGCUUGCGAUAUUAAUAUGGCAAACGGCCAUGAUUCGUUUGUGCCGAAAACCAACAAUCAAUUGGCUAGAGAUGAGCAAUUUAGCGAUGGCCAGCACAAUGAUCUGGCAACGUAUUUAGGGUAAUAGUGAUCUCUUAUCCUCGAAAGACUUUUCUUGGUUUUGCGCAGUCAGAUGUCUUUUUUAACAACAGCUUUAGCUAAAUUUCAAAAAGAGCACGCUAAAAAAAAAGCUAAAGCCUCUUUAUAAUGUGGCAACGCUUAGACACAUGACGUGGCAACGCCUUAUAGUAUCGCAUGUUGUAGCCGAUAUAUAUCGAAAUGUUCUCUCUAAUCAGGCACGUAAAGUGUAAGUGACGAAACAGGUGGGUGGGGGAUUGUUGGUACAUCAACAUCCAUAGCCUCCGGUCAAUUGAAACGACUCAAAGAGUGUUUUGGCCUGCGGGUUCCAUUUCUCUUUGCCCAUUGGCAACUUUUUCACUAACCCCACAUUCCGCCCCGUUCAGGAUCUACUGCACCUCCUUUCCUUUUCUUUCCAUUUUUUUUUAUCGACGCGCGGCCAUAUAAAUUUCACUCUGGCAAAUGGUUUUUAUUGGCAGCCGCGACUGACCUCUCCUCCCAACCGCCUGCUUCUUUUAGCCACUCGUGCUGCUGUUUCUUUGCUUCUCUUCUCAGCGUACUGCUUCUCAUCGACCGUUGAGACUGAGCUGAAAAAAGGUUAAAUUUGGAAAAUUGGUACGUGAUUGGAUUCAAAGCGCAAAAUAAGUGCGUCAGUUGGUUUGCCCCAUUCACUUAUGGGAAUGGAAAACAGACGAGAAAAAACAACAAAAAUAACAAAAAAUUGAAAGAAAGA